Molecule: long non-coding RNA, 456 nt
Filed under: Gallus gallus (chicken)
Lineage: Eukaryota; Metazoa; Chordata; Aves; Galliformes; Phasianidae
Description: lncRNA (ENSGALG00010028315.1)
Source: RNAcentral
CUGAGAGUUGGUACUUCAGAGGGAAGGGUAAAGAGAAGCUUCCCUGGACAAGUCCAUCUUGGCCUGAAAUUUGGCACCAGGAGAUAGAGCAUUUAACGCUGCACUUGAGUGGGGGCAGACUAGAACCUCCUGCAGGCUGAACCUGUGCUCUUGUGAGGACCACUUGCAAGCCAAUAACAGGCCCAGGAAACACAUUUUAUCUGGCUGUGGCUGAGCUGUCGGGAGUAAAUGGAAGAUCUUAGGUGCUUCUGGCAGAAGUGCCACACCACUCUUCAAGCUUCUUCAUCUGCCAAUCAGUUACCUAGAUCACCUAUUGCUGCUUCUGAAAAUCCUGGCUGAUGUCCCCUGAGAUGUAUUAUAGCCACCUCCUGGGAAUCAGCACGCAGCAUCAUACCUGAUGUUCUGAAGAAAACAAUUCCAUCCCAACUGAAACCAAGACAACCUCUUAAAUCAUUC